This 426-nucleotide ribosomal RNA is filed under the name uncultured Pseudomonadota bacterium. Its description in RNAcentral is "bacterial SSU rRNA". It matches the Rfam family "Bacterial small subunit ribosomal RNA", at positions 356 to 774 of the family's 1533-position model. Lineage: Bacteria; Pseudomonadati; Pseudomonadota. The record is from RNAcentral.
GGGGAAUAUUGCGCAAUGGGCGAAAGCCUGACGCAGCGACGCCGCGUGAGGGAUGAAGGUUUUCGGAUCGUAAACCUCUGUCAGAAGGGAAGAAACCGCACCGUGCUAAUCAGCGGUGCCUUGACGGUACCUUCAAAGGAAGCACCGGCUAACUCCGUGCCAGCAGCCGCGGUAAUACGGAGGGUGCAAGCGUUAAUCGGAAUUACUGGGCGUAAAGCGCACGUAGGCGGACUUUUAAGUCAGGGGUGAAAUCCCGGGGCUCAACCCCGGAACUGCCUUUGAUACUGGAAGUCUUGAGUAUGGUAGAGGUGAGUGGAAUUCCGAGUGUAGAGGUGAAAUUCGUAGAUAUUCGGAGGAACACCAGUGGCGAAGGCGGCUCACUGGACCAUUACUGACGCUGAGGUGCGAAAGCGUGGGGAGCAAACA